This 433-nucleotide ribosomal RNA is filed under the name uncultured bacterium. RNAcentral describes it as "partial 16S ribosomal RNA". It matches the Rfam family "Bacterial small subunit ribosomal RNA", at positions 29 to 507 of the family's 1533-position model. The record is from RNAcentral.
AACGAACGCUGGCGGCAUGCCUAACACAUGCAAGUCGAACGAGACCUUCGGGUCUAGUGGCGCACGGGUGCGUAACGCGUGGGAACCUGCCCUUAGGUUCGGAAUAACUCCCCGAAAGGGGUGCUAAUACCGGAUAAUGUCUUCGGACCAAAGAUUUAUCGCCUUUGGAUGGGCCCGCGUUGGAUUAGCUAGUUGGUAGGGUAAAAGCCUACCAAGGCGACGAUCCAUAGCUGGUCUGAGAGGAUGAUCAGCCACACUGGGACUGAGACACGGCCCAGACUCCUACGGGAGGCAGCAGUGGAGAGUAUUGGAGAAUGGGCGAAAGCCUGAUCCAGCAAUGCCGCGUAAGUGAUGAAGGCCUUAGGGUUGUAAAUCUCUUUUACCCGGGAUGAGAAUGACAGUACCGGGAGAAUAAGCUCCGGCUAACUCCGUG